This is a non-coding RNA of Cinara cedri, 235 nucleotides long. The record is from the annotation of a GenBank genome assembly. NCBI's taxonomy places the organism in Eukaryota, Metazoa, Arthropoda, Insecta, Hemiptera, Aphididae.
CAAACCAAACAAAAUUGUGUCAAAUCGAUUGUAUCUAUUAUAUCUACUCUGGACCAUUGACUGUGCCAAACGCCAAUGAAAGUCGCCACUUCCCUCGCGGUGUGGGAGAACGCGCCUGUUUCCAACCGAUACAAUAUCAGUGAUUUCAAUAUCGUCGCGGAUUUCGAUUUCCGCAUACCGCUACGGCGAAACACUUCCGGGAAUUCUAUCGGAACGGUACCUGCGUAAAGUGAUG